GGGAAGAUAACGUUGGUAGUUUACCCGCCUUGGACGCGGGAGGUUGUAGGUUCGAAUCCUGCUUCUCA
RNAcentral lists this transfer RNA (68 nucleotides) under Flavobacteriaceae bacterium. RNAcentral's name for it is "tRNA-Pro". It matches the Rfam family "tRNA". From Rfam's summary of the family: Transfer RNA (tRNA) molecules are approximately 80 nucleotides in length. Their secondary structure includes four short double-helical elements and three loops (D, anti-codon, and T loops). Further hydrogen bonds mediate the characteristic L-shaped molecular structure. tRNAs have two regions of fundamental functional importance: the anti-codon, which is responsible for specific mRNA codon recognition, and the 3' end, to which the tRNAs corresponding amino acid is attached (by aminoacyl-tRNA synthetases). tRNAs cope with the degeneracy of the genetic code in two manners: having more than one tRNA (with a specific anti-codon) for a particular amino acid; and 'wobble' base-pairing, i.e. permitting non-standard base-pairing at the 3rd anti-codon position. The record is from RNAcentral. Lineage: Bacteria; Pseudomonadati; Bacteroidota; Flavobacteriia; Flavobacteriales; Flavobacteriaceae.